AGUGGCGGACGGGUGAGUAACACAUGGGUGACCUACCCCCCAGUGAGGGAUACCGGCGAGAAAUCGCCGACAAGACCGCAUAGGCUUUCGGAGAGCAAAGCUUCGCUGAGGGAUGGGCCUGUGGCCGAUUAGCUAGUUGGUGGGGUAAGAGCUCACCAAGGCGACGAUCGGUAGCUGGUCUGAGAGGACGAUCAGCCACACUGGGAUUGAGAACGGCCCAGACUCCUACGGGGGGCAGCAGUGAGGAAUUUUCGGCAAUGGGCGCAAGCCUGACCGAGCAACGCCGCGUGCAGGAAGACGCUUUUCGGAGUGUAAACUGCUUUUCUCGGGGAAGAGAGACGGUACCCGAGGAAGAAGCCCCGGCUAACUACGUGCCAGCAGCC
This 383-nucleotide ribosomal RNA is filed under the name uncultured soil bacterium. RNAcentral's name for it is "bacterial SSU rRNA". It matches the Rfam family "Bacterial small subunit ribosomal RNA", at positions 94 to 516 of the family's 1533-position model. The record is from RNAcentral.